Molecule: non-coding RNA, 74 nt
Organism: Potamilus streckersoni
Lineage: Eukaryota; Metazoa; Mollusca; Bivalvia; Unionida; Unionidae
Source: the annotation of a GenBank genome assembly
CGCUCCGUUGGCCGAGUGGUUAGAGCGUCCGCUUAGAAUGCGGGAGGUCACAGGUUCGAUCCCCGGCUGAGUCA